RNAcentral lists this ribosomal RNA (361 nucleotides) under uncultured bacterium. RNAcentral's name for it is "partial 16S ribosomal RNA". It matches the Rfam family "Bacterial small subunit ribosomal RNA", at positions 338 to 710 of the family's 1533-position model. The record is from RNAcentral.
CCUACGGGUGGCAGCAGUCGAGAAUCAUUCACAAUGGGGGAAACCCUGAUGCUGCGAAGUCGCGUGGGGGAAUGCUGGCCUUCGGAUUGUAAACCUCUGUUAUGUGGGAGCAAAUUCAAAAGAUAGUACCCCAAGAGGAAGAGACGGCCAACUCUGUGCCAGCAGCCGCGGUAAUACAGAGGUCUCAAGCGUUGUUCGGAAUCACUGGGGGUAAAGCGUGUGUAUGCUGUUUCGUAAGUCGUGUGUGAAAGUCGCGGGCUCAAACCGCGGACGGCACAUGAUACUGCGAGACUAGAGUAAGGGAGAGGGAACCGGAAUGCUCGGUGUAGCAGUGAAAUGCGUAGAUAUCGCGAGGAACACU